Molecule: ribosomal RNA, 491 nt
Filed under: uncultured bacterium
Lineage: Bacteria
Description: partial 16S ribosomal RNA
Rfam family: Bacterial small subunit ribosomal RNA
Source: RNAcentral
AGUGAACGUUGGCGGUAGGCCUAACACAUGCAAGUCGAACGGCAGCACAGUAAGAGCUUGCUCUUACGGGUGGCGAGUGGCGGACGGGUGAGGAAUACAUCGGAAUCUACUUUUUCGUGGGGGAUAACGUAGGGAAACUUACGCUAAUACCGCAUACGACCUACGGGUGAAAGCAGGGGAUCUUCGGACCUUGCGCGAUUGAAUGAGCCGAUGUCGGAUUAGCUAGUUGGCGGGGUAAAGGCCCACCAAGGCGACGAUCCGUAGCUGGUCUGAGAGGAUGAUCAGCCACACUGGAACUGAGACACGGUCCAGACUCCUACGGGAGGCAGCAGUGGGGAAUAUCGGACAAUGGGCGCAAGCCUGAUCCAGCCAUACCGCGUGGGUGAAGAAGGCCUUCGGGUUGUAAAGCCCUUUUGUUGGGAAAGAAAAGCAGCAGGUUAAUACCCCGCUGUUCUGACGGUACCCAAAGAAUAAACACCGGCUAACUUCGU